AGUGAACGCUGGCGGUAGGCCUAACACAUGCAAGUCGAACGGCAGCACAGUAAGAGCUUGCUCUUACGGGUGGCGAGUGGCGGACGGGUGAGGAAUACAUCGGAAUCUACUUUUUCGUGGGGGAUAACGUAGGGAAACUUACGCUAAUACCGCAUACGACCUACGGGUGAAAGCAGGGGAUCUUCGGACCUUGCGCGAUUGAAUGAGCCGAUGUCGGAUUAGCUAGUUGGCGGGGUAAAGGCCCACCAAGGCGACGAUCCGUAGCUGGUCUGAGAGGAUGAUCAGCCACACUGGAACGGGGACACGGUCCAGGCUCCUACGGGAGGCAGCAGUGGGGAAUAUUGGACAAUGGGCGCAAGCCUGAUCCAGCCAUACCGCGUGGGUGAAGAAGGCCUUCGGGUUGUAAAGCCCUUUUGUUGGGAAAGAAAAGCAGCAGGUUAAUACCCCGCUGUUCUGACGGUACCCAAAGAAUAAGCACCGGCUAACUUCGUG
This 492-nucleotide ribosomal RNA is filed under the name uncultured bacterium. Its description in RNAcentral is "partial 16S ribosomal RNA". It matches the Rfam family "Bacterial small subunit ribosomal RNA", at positions 29 to 507 of the family's 1533-position model. The record is from RNAcentral.